RNAcentral lists this ribosomal RNA (839 nucleotides) under uncultured bacterium. RNAcentral's name for it is "bacterial SSU rRNA". It matches the Rfam family "Bacterial small subunit ribosomal RNA", at positions 56 to 893 of the family's 1533-position model. The record is from RNAcentral.
UGCAAGUCGCGGGGCAGCACAGGUAGCAAUACUGGGUGGCGACCGGCGCACGGGUGAGUAACACGUAUGCAACCUCCCUCUAACUGGGGCAUAGCUCGGCGAAAGUCGAAUUAAUUCCCCAUAAUAUCAAUGGAAGGCAUCUUCUGUUGAUUAAAGCUCCGGCGGUUAGAGAUGGGCAUGCGUACCAUUAGCUAGUUGGUGAGGUAUCGGCUCACCAAGGCUACGAUGGUUAGGGGGUCUGAGAGGAUGAUCCCCCACACUGGUACUGAGACACGGACCAGACUCCUACGGGAGGCAGCAGUGAGGAAUAUUGGUCAAUGGGCGAAAGCCUGAACCAGCCAUGCCGCGUGAAGGAUGAAGGCCCUCAGGGUUGUAAACUUCUUUUGUACGGGACGAAACCCCUGAACGUGUUCGAGGCUGACGGUACCGUACGAAUAAGCAACGGCNNNNNNCGUGCCAGCAGCCGCGGUAAUACGGAGGUUGCAAGCGUUAUCCGGAUUCAUUGGGUUUAAAGGGUGCGUAGGCGGGACGGUAAGUCAGUGGUGAAAGCCUGCAGCCUAACUGUAGAAUUGCCAUUGAUACUGCUGUUCUUGAGUGCAGCUGAGGUGGGCGGAAUGUGUAGUGUAGCGGUGAAAUGCUUAGAUAUUACACAGAACACCGAUUGCGGAGGCAGCUCACUAAACUGUAACUGACGCUGANGCACGAAAGCGUGGGGAGCAAACAGGANUAGAUACCCUGGUAGUCCACGCCCUAAACGAUGAUCACUCGCUGUUGGCGACAUACUGNCAGCGGCUAAGCGAAAGCAUUAAGUGAUCCANNUGGGGAGCACGCUCGCAAGA